AUUGAACGCUGGCGGCAGGCCUAACACAUGCAAGUCGAACGGUAACAGGAAGAAGCUUGCUUCUUUGCUGACGAGUGGCGGACGUGAGAGUCAUGUCUGGGAAACUGCUUGAUGGAGGGGGAUAACUACUGGAAACGGUAGCUAAUACCGCAUAAUGUCUCAAGACCAAAGAGGGGGACCUUCGGGCCUCUUGCCAUCGGAUGUGCCCAGAUGGGAUUAGCUAGUAGGUGGGGUAACGGCUCACCUAGGCGACGAUCCCUAGCUGGUCUGAGAGGAUGACCAGCCACACUGGAACUGAGACACGGUCCAGACUCCUACGGGAGGCAGCAGUGGGGAAUAUUGCACAAAGGGCGCAAGCCUGAUGCAGCUAUGCCGCGUGUAUGAAGAAGGCCUUCGGGUUGUAAAGUACUUUCAGCGGGGAGGAAGGGAGUAAAGUUAAUACCUUUGCACAUUGACGUUACCCGCAGAAGAAGCACCGGCUAACUCCGUG
RNAcentral lists this ribosomal RNA (490 nucleotides) under uncultured bacterium. RNAcentral's name for it is "partial 16S ribosomal RNA". It matches the Rfam family "Bacterial small subunit ribosomal RNA", at positions 30 to 507 of the family's 1533-position model. The record is from RNAcentral.